GCUAAUUAAACUUUAGAAAAGUAUAUACCUUGAAAGUAUAAAAUUAUGGUUAAAUUCCAUAUUUAGCU
RNAcentral lists this transfer RNA (68 nucleotides) under Kleidocerys resedae resedae. RNAcentral describes it as "tRNA-Ser". It matches the Rfam family "tRNA". Rfam says of the family: Transfer RNA (tRNA) molecules are approximately 80 nucleotides in length. Their secondary structure includes four short double-helical elements and three loops (D, anti-codon, and T loops). Lineage: Eukaryota; Metazoa; Arthropoda; Insecta; Hemiptera; Lygaeidae. The record is from RNAcentral.